CGCGGUAGCUGACUGAACUGAAAAUAAAAGUCGAGCGGAUGAUGGGAGCUUGCUCCUGGAUUCAGCGGCGGACGGGUGAGUAAUGCCUAGGAAUCUGCCUGGUAGUGGGGGAUAACGUCCGGAAACGGGCGCUAAUACCGCAUACGUCCUGAGGGAGAAAGUGGGGGAUCUUCGGACCUCACGCUAUCAGAUGAGCCUAGGUCGGAUUAGCUAGUUGGUGGGGUAAAGGCCUACCAAGGCGACGAUCCGUAACUGGUCUGAGAGGAUGAUCAGUCACACUGGAACUGAGACACGGUCCAGACUCCUACGGGAGGCAGCAGUGGGGAAUAUUGGACAAUGGGCGAAAGCCUGAUCCAGCCAUGCCGCGUGUGUGAAGAAGGUCUUCGGAUUGUAAAGCACUUUAAGUUGGGAGGAAGGGCAGUAAGUUAAUACCUUGCUGUUUUGACGUUACCAACAGAAUAAGCACCGGCUAACUUCGUGCCAGCAGCCGCGGUAAUACGAAGGGUGCAAGCGUUAAUCGGAAUUACUGGGCGUAAAGCGCGCGUAGGUGGUUCAGCAAGUUGGAUGUGAAAUCCCCGGGCUCAACCUGGGAACUGCAUCCAAAACUACUGAGCUAGAGUACGGUAGAGGGUGGUGGAAAUUUCCUGUGUAGCGGUGAAAUGCGUAGAUAUAGGAAGGAACACCAGUGGCGAAAGGCGACCACCUGGACUGAUACUGACACUGAGGUGCGAAAGCGUGGGGAGCAAACAGGA
This 752-nucleotide ribosomal RNA is filed under the name bacterium. RNAcentral describes it as "bacterial SSU rRNA". It matches the Rfam family "Bacterial small subunit ribosomal RNA", at positions 34 to 777 of the family's 1533-position model. The record is from RNAcentral.